GACGAACGCUGGCGGCGUGCUUAACACAUGCAAGUCGAACGGAAAGGCCCUGCUUUUGUGGGGUGCUCGAGUGGCGAACGGGUGAGUAACACGUGAGUAACCUGCCCUUGACUUUGGGAUAACUUCAGGAAACUGGGGCUAAUACAGGAUAGGAGCUCCUGCUGCAUGGUGGGGGUUGGAAAGUUUCGGCGGUUGGGGAUGGACUCGCGGCUUAUCAGCUUGUUGGUGGGGUAGUGGCUUACCAAGGCUUUGACGGGUAGCCGGCCUGAGAGGGUGGCCGGCCACAUUGGGACUGAGAUACGGCCCAGACUCCUACGGGAGGCAGCAGUGGGGAAUAUUGCACAAUGGGCGGAAGCCUGAUGCAGCAACGCCGCGUGCGGGAUGACGGCCUUCGGGUUGUAAACCGCUUUCGCCUGUGACGAAGCGUGAGUGACGGUAAUGGGUAAAGAAGCACCGGCUAACUACGUG
Molecule: ribosomal RNA, 468 nt
Filed under: uncultured bacterium
Lineage: Bacteria
Description: partial 16S ribosomal RNA
Rfam family: Bacterial small subunit ribosomal RNA
Source: RNAcentral